CGUAGGACUCCUGGCUCAACUGGAGAAGAUCAAUGCUGAGCCUUCAGAAUCAGACACUGCCCGAUAUGUUACAUCAAAAAUUCUUCAUCUGGCUCAGAGUCAAGAAAAAACAAGGAGAGAAAUGACAGCCAAAGGUUCUACAGGAAUGGAAAUUCUGCUGUCAACAUUAGAGGUGGAGGUCGAAGAGUGAGUUUCUUAGUCACCAAAGGUGGUUCACAAAUAUUGUUGCAGUUACUUAUGAAUGCCAGCAAAGAAUCUCCCCCACAUGAGGACUUAAUGGUACAGAUUCAUUCUAUUCUUGCAAAGAUUGGACCAAAAGAUAAAAAAUUUGGAGUAAAGGCUAGAAUUAAUGGGGCUCUGAAUAUAACCCUGAAUUUGGUCAAGCAGAAUUUGCAGAAUCAUCGCUUGGUUCUACCUUGCCUUCAGCUUUUACGAGUAUAUUCUGCCAACUCUGUGAAUUCAGUAUCCUUAGGGAAAAAUGGAGUUGUGGAACUGAUGUUUAAAAUCAUUGGACCAUUUAGUAAGAAGAAUUCCAGUCUUAUAAAGGUUGCUUUAGACACUCUUGCUGCAUUGCUAAAAUCAAAAACAAAUGCCAGGAGAGCUGUAGACAGAGGAUAUGUCCAAGUGCUUUUAACAAUUUAUGUAGAUUGGCACCGCCAUGAUAACCGGCAUAGAAACAUGCUCAUUCGGAAAGGAAUUUUACAGAGUUUAAAAAGUGUUACAAACAUCAAGUUGGGAAGAAAAGCAUUUAUUGAUGCCAAUGGGAUGAAAAUUCUGUAUAAUACUUCG
RNAcentral lists this non-coding RNA (789 nucleotides) under Pan troglodytes (chimpanzee). Lineage: Eukaryota; Metazoa; Chordata; Mammalia; Primates; Hominidae. The record is from RNAcentral. RNAcentral also lists the same sequence under 1 other name.